RNAcentral lists this transfer RNA (93 nucleotides) under Siphoviridae sp. ctRPk8. RNAcentral describes it as "tRNA-OTHER". It matches the Rfam family "tRNA". From Rfam's summary of the family: Transfer RNA (tRNA) molecules are approximately 80 nucleotides in length. Their secondary structure includes four short double-helical elements and three loops (D, anti-codon, and T loops). Further hydrogen bonds mediate the characteristic L-shaped molecular structure. tRNAs have two regions of fundamental functional importance: the anti-codon, which is responsible for specific mRNA codon recognition, and the 3' end, to which the tRNAs corresponding amino acid is attached (by aminoacyl-tRNA synthetases). tRNAs cope with the degeneracy of the genetic code in two manners: having more than one tRNA (with a specific anti-codon) for a particular amino acid; and 'wobble' base-pairing, i.e. permitting non-standard base-pairing at the 3rd anti-codon position. Lineage: Duplodnaviria; Heunggongvirae; Uroviricota; Caudoviricetes. The record is from RNAcentral. RNAcentral also lists the same sequence under 1 other name.
GCGGGCGUAGCUCAGUCGGCAGAGCUUUAUCGCGUGAAGGGAUAUGCGAUUGAAUACCCUUGGUCGCUGGUUCGAGUCCAGCCGCCCGUGCCA